AACGAACGCUGGCGGCGUGGAUAAGACAUGCAAGUCGAACGAUUAUCAUCGGGUAGCAAUAUUCGGUGGUGAGAGUAGCGCAAGGGUGCGUAACACGUGGGUAAUUUGCCGUGAAGUCUGGAAUAACUUGCUGAAAGGCGAGCUAAUACCGGAUGUGAUCGCCGGAGGGCAUCCUCUGGCACUUAAAGUCGGGGACCGCAAGGCCUGACGCUUCUCGAUAAGCCCGCGGCCUAUCAGCUAGUUGGUGAGGUAACGGCUUACCAAGGCUAAGACGGGUAGCUGGUCUGAGAGGACGACCAGCCACACUGGAACUGAGACACGGUCCAGACACCUACGGGUGGCAGCAGUCGAGAAUUUUUCUCAAUGGGGGAAACCCUGAAGGAGCGACGCCGCGUGGGGGAUGAAUGGCUUCGGCCCGUAAACCCCUGUCAUUUGCGAUCAAACCUUACGACCUAAUACGUCGUAAGCUGAUAGUAGCGGAAGAGGAAGGGACGGCUAACUCUGUGC
RNAcentral lists this ribosomal RNA (507 nucleotides) under uncultured bacterium. RNAcentral describes it as "bacterial SSU rRNA". It matches the Rfam family "Bacterial small subunit ribosomal RNA", at positions 29 to 508 of the family's 1533-position model. The record is from RNAcentral.